AGAGACCCUCCACUGUUCCCACAGGCUACGCGGUACAAGGACCUGAUUGGUUCCAGGGAAACUGUCAUUUGGGGCCACAGAAUCCACUUGCUGUACUUCUACUUUUCUCCAAAUGUUCAGGCAGCAGGGCACCAGUGGGUUUUAAUUCUCCAGCGCCCCACGCAGACAAGGGGCAGAAUCUCAUUGUGUCUCUCAGAUGGCAAAUAGCAGCGGACCCACCCACACCCAAGGAUCCUUGGAGGUCAAUGGAGAAGCUGAGCACUUUUCUGAACUAUCACACUGUCACCAAACUCUCUCUGCUCCUGUCUCUUGUUAAGGUUCCCUGGACAGCACAAGGUUGCAUAAAGUGCUCUCUCCUCACAAUUCAUAUGUUGAGCCACGACCUGACUUCCUGGACCUCAGAAUGCGACCUUAUUUGGGAGUAGGGUGAUUGCAAAUACAAUCAGUUCAUUUAAGAUGAGGUCAUACUAUGGAGGGCCCUUAAUCUAAAAUGACUAAUGCUGUGUCUUUGAACAAGGGGGGAAAUGUGGGCACCGACUCACAGACUGGAAAAUGUGAUGUAAGGAUGAAGGCAGAGGGUGGGCGAUGCUUCCACUAGCUAACGAUAGCUGGAAAUGGCUAUCAAACAACUAGAAAUCGGGAGGAAAGCUGGGAACAGACUCAGCCUUCAGAAGAAAGAAACACUGCCAACACCUUUAUCCUGAAAUGUCAGCUUCAAGAACCGUGAGAUAAUACAUUUCCGACAUUUAAACUACCAAUUUGUGGUACUUUGUGAAGGCAGCCCUGGGAACCUAAUACAUGGAACAAAUUGUUCUGUCUUCCCAAUCUACCCUCUUUCCACCCUCCCACCCCAACUUCUGAAGAAGCAGCCAUGUUGAACAACAUGUCACCCCUCCCUUGGUUAGAGUUCACUGGUAACUGACAUCUGAGAGCAAAGAGAAAGUUUCUAAAGAUUUCAACUAAAAACAUAAAU
Molecule: long non-coding RNA, 973 nt
Filed under: Cricetulus griseus (Chinese hamster)
Lineage: Eukaryota; Metazoa; Chordata; Mammalia; Rodentia; Cricetidae
Description: lncRNA (ENSCGRG00015030423.1)
Source: RNAcentral